CGCACACAGCGCGCAGUCCUGGACACAGAAGGACCUGUCGCGCAUCUGCCCCUUCUUCGAACACUACAGGAGAGAAAUCGGUACACGUAACCCUCACCUCUUUUUCAUUUUUUUAUUCACGGACCACGUUUUUUGGAUUGUAUCACUGAGAAAGCGGACGCAGUUGAGAAGAUUUGUCUUUAGCAAUUUCCAGCUACAAAUUGGAGUCUGUCACUUUUCUGCUGAUUGUUAAAUUACUUGCCAUUUGGGAAACUUUCGAUUUUCUAUUCAAGGUAUUUUCUCAUUUGUUUUCAUAGCCUGCAAUAAAAUAAUCCCAUAAUAUAAUUUCUGGAGCAAUGCCUGCAGGUUCCGAUCUAGAACUUGUUUCGCUUGGCUGACUUCUGGAACCAUGUCGAACUGUCGCCUGAGAAGCUACCAUCAGAAAAGCUACUCUGGGAGUCUCGGGCGAGUACAAAUUGGAAAUUGAACAGGUCUGGCCCUGAAACGCCACGGUCAACUUGAAACUCCUUCAGAUUUGCCGAGAGCCACUGUUCGCUGGGCUGGACGUGGCUCUUGGAGGAUCCCCUCUCUCACCCCGCUUUCUCCGAGGGAUGGUACUGGGUCCCCUGCGCUCAGGAGCGACUUGGCGGCUCCUAAAGAAAACGUGUUUCUUGUUUUGGGGGAAAUCGAAAUUAAAGGGAGAUGAGAACCGCACUUUUCUACUUCCUCCUCUGUACGUCGUGCCUGGUGCUCAUUAAUGCCGAGGAACUUCCACAAGAGCUGAUUGAGCGACUGUCCCACAGUGAAAUCAACAGCAUCAGCGACCUCCAGCGGCUCUUGGACAUAGACUUCGUAGGUACGGGAAAUGAAGUCAUCGAGGAGCACAAGCAGAAGCAGCACAAGCAGAACUAUUCCCACACUUACUCGGACCUGAAGAGCUCGCAGGUCCACCGCAGACGCAAGAGGAGUGUGGAGGAGGCCGUGCCGGCGGUGUGUAAGACACGGACGGUGAUCUACGAGAUCCCGCGCAGUCAGGUGGACCCCACCGCUGCCAACUUCCUCAUCUGGCCACCUUGCGUGGAGGUCAAGCGCUGCACGGGAUGCUGCAACACCAGCAACAUGCGCUGCCACCCCUCGCGCAAGCACCACCGCACCGUUAAGGUGGCCAAGGUGGAGUACGUGCGGAGGAAGCCCAAACUCAAGGAGGUGUUUGUUCGGUUAGAGGACCACCUGGAGUGUGUGUGCACGUCGCACCAUCACGUGGUGGAGCAUGCAGACGCAGACACAGGCCACCGCAGGGCCAAGGGUAAGAAAGGAAAACACAGAAAGAGCAGGCUCACCAAGGAGCGUUUGGCCACAUAGCAAAACACUCAAAACAAACCGUAAAAAAAAAAAAAAGAAAAUUGCUGGGCGCGUUGCGUUCUCCGGACUCCAGACGCCUGCAGUGGACGUGAGGUGAGGCCACCCAACGGGAGAGACGCCAGCGAGGGGCGAGGUGGGACAGAAACAGGAAAUCAGAGAGUCCGGAGAACUCACCCUUGACACUUGACCCUUGACCCCACACCACCACCACCAAAAAAAGAGAAAAAAACAAAAACCCGACAACACACAUGAAAGAAAAUGCGGUCUGAUGAGAGACUAAAGUGAAUAAGAAAUACCAAAGGUGCUUUUCUUCCUGCAACCUGAUAUGACUUCAUUCUGCUGGGCCUGGCAGACCUAACCAAUCAAACACUAAUGCAAGCGAUAGUAAUGAUGAUAAUAAUGAUAAUGAUGAUGAUGAUGAUGAUGAAAAUGAUGACGACAUUUGAGUGGAAUGGGAGAGAAGGAGGAUGUGUUUGUUGUGCUGCUACAUGUGUCCAAACCACACAGACUUCACAAAGGACGGACACACACACACUCACACAUACAGACACACACACUCACACACACACAGACACUCUCACAAACUCACACACUCACACACAGAGAGAACUCUCAAUAGACUCUGACUGUAACAAAUGUACAAAAAAGGACAGAAAGAGAACUGAAAAAGAACUGAUACAGAAAGGAUGUAAAAGAAAGAUAUGGCCUUUUUUCAUGGACGCUUCUGCGCAGCCGUAUGGAACUAUGGGACUCCUUUUUAAUGUCCAUAGGCCAUAGGCCAUAUGCUCUCCACCUGCAGCUGCAGAUGGUGUGUGGUGGAGCCCAGCAGAAGAUCUCUCCUCUCCUCUCCUCUCCUCUCCAUUCUGGAGCGCCCCCCUCCCCCUCUCCCGAGGUCUCAUGUUCUCUCCCUGGGACCCCUAAGCGCCGACAUGGACACUCUGGACAGGAGGCACUCACGUGGCCCACUGCAGUGACAGUCGACAAAUAAACUAUUUAUACACACAAGCAUUUGACUCUCCCUUUCUCGCUCUCUUUCUCUCCUUCUCUCCCUCUCUCUGUCCCUCUCUCUCUUUCUCUCUCUCUCUCUCUCUCUCUGUCCCUCUCUCUCUCUCUGUUUCUUUCCACUGUGGAAGCAGAGACAUUGUAAAGUUCUGUGAUUCUCUCUCACCUCUGUUCUGAAAAGAUCUGUAUGUUUAUAUUUUUUAGCUGUUGUUGCCAUCCAUGUUUUUUUUUCCUUCUUUCAUUGAUUAUGAUGAUGUUGCAUAUUACUCCACAGUAUAUCAGAAACGAUCUCAGAACUAGUAGCUCAACUGGCAGGAACAUAUGUGAUGCAGAGGGGACAGGCUGACAGUAAAGGAAGAUGCUUUAUUUUUGUUAAGAAAAUAUAUUACGCUUACUUAUAUUCAAGCAGGAAGUACGUUUUCCUUUUGUUUUGCUUUUUGUCCCCCUUCACUGUGCUGAGAUGUGUGUGUGUUCGACUAGAGAAAACAGCCACUGAUCUGGCUUGGGGAAGUGGAACGAGGGUGAAGGGACAGGAGGAAUGUGUGCACAUGCAUAAACACACACACACACACACACACACACACACACACACACACACACACACACACACACACACACAUACAGUACACAGUUAGCACAGUAAGUCUAAUAUCAAAUACCUGUUGAUAAUUUAAUCUAGCAGGAUCUAGCCUUACAGUGAACACUAAGUUAUAAGUUAGAUGGGUUGCUUAAGGUGGUGAACAGCAUUUAACCCCAGUGACAAGUCUCAAAAGAACCCUCUUCCCUCUGCUCUCUCUUUCUCUCAUACACACACACACACACAUGAAUUCACAUGCCCAAAAACACACACACACACACAUCCACAUAGGGCUAGCUUGUGUGUGUGUGUGUGACCUGAGAGGCAUUGAAUGUUCUACCGGGGAGCCAUGCGAUAUUUCCUAGGGCAUGAUUUUGUCAUGGAGCAAAUCCACAAAUACUCACACGCCACACACAUGACUUACAAACCAUAUGAACUGCAUGAGUCUGCACAUAUCCAUUGAAACAAACAAUGCAGGCCAGUGUAGCUGCCGUGUGGAGUUGGUACUGGCCUAAGGUAUGCUGUGAUGUGACUGUAACUGGUGCUAUAUUUAUACAGGUAGUCAAAUACUCCGUGUAGCUUCACCACUCUGACUGCUCCCAUUCAGAUGUAGCUAGAGGGACCAGGGACCAUUGCUUUAGGAAGACAGUAAUAUUAUCACUAAGCUUUUUUUUUUUCAUUUGCUGAUUUCUUUGUUUGUUUUUUUUCUCUCUUUUGUUUUUAUUUUAUGUUUUGCCCUCCGUUGGUUAACAUCGAUUAUAAUUUAUAUAUUUAUGGUUUCAAUAAUAAAUAUAUUUCAGCUUAUUAAACUUCA
Alosa sapidissima (American shad) is the source of this 3734-nucleotide RNA transcript. It is a transcript of the gene named platelet-derived growth factor alpha polypeptide b, with no coding region annotated. The record is from RefSeq and is a predicted model, not a curated record. The transcript is spliced from 7 exons. NCBI's taxonomy places the organism in Eukaryota, Metazoa, Chordata, Actinopteri, Clupeiformes, Clupeidae.